UACGUAGGGCGCAAGCGUUGUCCGGAAUUAUUGGGCGUAAAGAGCUCGUAGGCGGCCUGUUGCGUCCGCUGUGAAAUCCCGGGGCUUAACCCCGGGCCUGCAGUGGAUACGGGCAGGCUGGAGGCAGGCAGGGAGAACGGAAUUCCCGGUGUAGCGGUGAAAUGCGCAGAUAUCGGGAGGAACACCAGUGGCGAAGGCGACUACCUGGCCUGUUCUUUGACGCUGAGGCGCGAAAGCUAGGGGAGCAAACGGG
This 253-nucleotide ribosomal RNA is filed under the name uncultured bacterium. RNAcentral describes it as "partial 16S ribosomal RNA". It matches the Rfam family "Bacterial small subunit ribosomal RNA", at positions 524 to 776 of the family's 1533-position model. The record is from RNAcentral.